GGGGCAGACUCCUCCCUCAGGGUGGGGGCGGGAGGCGGUGUGAGGGCCCCCCAGCUGCUAAAGGACCUCCAGGACCUCUCAGCCCGCCUGCGAGCCCUGGGCGCCUCCGCUGCUGUGAGACAGGGAGAUCCUGCAGGCGGCGCCAACCAGCAGCUGGUGGAGGGUGCGUGUGAUGCGCUGUACGGGGCGUCCCUGUCGCUGUCCAGCGUCAACACCCUGCUGAGGUCACCGCCGGUGAUGACACGUACAGAGGGGGCGGAGCUACAGCUGGGACAGCUACAGAACCUGUCAGCUGAGCUGGGCUCUCUGAGCAGGGAGCUGACCUCUCUGGGGUCCAAGCUCACGGGGGUCCUGGGCUCAGCGUCCGGGCAGCGGUGCCUGGACCUCCUGAUCAGGGUCCUGCCCGCGGUCCAGACCGGACUGAGAGACCGACGGAACCAUCUAGAACUCCUCCAGCAGAAGAGCUCACAGCUUCAGGUUCACCGCACCACUACAAUCUCUCGCUCUCUUGCUUUAUUUGUCUCUCUCUUUUUUUUCUUUCUUUCUUUCUUUCUUUCUUUCUUUCUUUCUUUCUUUCUUUCUUUCUUUCUUUCUUUCUUUCUUUCUUUCUUUCUUUCUUUCUUUCUUUCUUUAAAUAAUCAAUUGUAUCAAUCCUAUUAAUCUUAUUAAUUAAAAUGAUGUGAUCAUACUUUUUAUUCUGUUUAACUUUUAACAAUUUAUACCCUUUUAAUUUUGAAUUGAAUGAGUUGUUUUCAUGAAAGAAUUAACUGACCCUCUUCAACCUAUCAGAGGAGACUGAAAGAGUUGCAGGCAGAACUUGAUUCUAACUGGUCUGCCGUGCACCAAUUAACCACCGAUCCUAUCGAGGGACAGGAGCUAACCCGACGCCUCCAGGUACUGUUAACACACUCACCAUCUCUGUGUUCCCACACUGCUGCAAUUAACCAUCAAUUAACAAUAAUGGUGCUAAUAAAGAGGUUUCAAUGUUCAAGCAUCUGUGUGUGUGUGUGUGUGUGUGUAUGUGUGUGUGUGUGUGUGUGUGUGUGUGUGUGUGUGUGUGUGUGUGUGUGUGUGUGUGUGUGCGUGUGUGUGUGUGUGUGUGUGUGCGUGUGUGUGUGUGUCUACAGGAUCAAGCCUGUGAGGUUGACGUUCUCCUGGAGGAAGUGAAGUCAUCGUCGCUUCCUGUCUGCCUGUCCCAGCAGGCCACUGCGCUCCAGGGUGCGCUUGAUGUGGCCCAGGCAGGGGUGAGCUCCAGAAGGGAGGAGCUACAGGUGGGAGCCGAUCUCCAGCGGCACUACGAGAGACUGGUGCUGGGUCUGGAGGAGCUGGUGACACUGGGGUCCCAACGCCUCUCUCUGCUGCCAGGCGCGGAGCUCCACACCAGGGACAGGCUGGAGGGCCUGCUGAGCUCCCAUACGAAGUUCUUCCAAUCCCUGGACGGACACGUGGGAAGCCUGCAGUACCUGUCUGGGCGGGUCCAGGACGGCGCCCCCGGCAGGCGGGCUGAGGAAGUGCAGGCGCUGCAGGAUAAAGUCUCUCAGCUGAGGCUACAAGCCCUGGAGCACGGCUGCAAGAUGGAGGACACCUUACAGGUAACUGCCACUGAAACUACGGCUGUAGUUCAUGGCUGUAGCACAUUUUGUGCAUACAACGUCUUUAAAGAGGUGCUAGUGUUUUGCGGUCUGUUAAACUGUGUCGCUGUGAUUGGUCAAUGCUUUUGUCCUCAGAUAUGGGCCCUGUGGGAGCAGGACAGCUCCUGGCUGGACGGCCUCUUAUCAGACACAGAGACUUCAGCUCCCAAGAUGCACCUGGCUCAGGACUCUGAGGAAGAGCUGUCUAACAGAAUACAUUUGUACCAGAAACUGAGUGGAGCGCUGGAGGACAGCAGGCCGAGGCUGGGGCAGCUGUCGGAGGCGGGGCUUUGGCUGCAGGGGGCGGGCUGUAGGGAGGUGGGCGUGGCCACCAAGAAGCAAGAGGCUCGCUGGAACCGCCUUCAUAAGAGGCUGGACCACGACAGGAAGCUCACCGAACGCAACAGGAAGCUACUCAACAGGUUCACCCUCCAAUCGGCUUCGCUGAUUGAAUGGAUGGGCGGGGCCAGGGAGCUGAUUGACAGGUGGAGACACUCCGUUGACCCUACCAAUCAGGAUCAGCCAAGUCUUCGGCAGAGCUGGGAUGACAUCAUGCUUCAGUUCAUGGUACGAAACAUUGAUGAUGACAAAGAAGCUAAAACUUAUGUAGAUUAUGAUGACCUUACCAGGAGGCCUAUGACAGCAAGCUUAUGCUAA
This is a long non-coding RNA of Gadus morhua (Atlantic cod), 2288 nucleotides long. The record is from Ensembl. NCBI's taxonomy places the organism in Eukaryota, Metazoa, Chordata, Actinopteri, Gadiformes, Gadidae.